UUUGAAAAAAUCAUGACGUUU
RNAcentral lists this non-coding RNA (21 nucleotides) under Caenorhabditis elegans. The record is from RNAcentral. Lineage: Eukaryota; Metazoa; Nematoda; Chromadorea; Rhabditida; Rhabditidae.